UACUGCCAGGUGUCCCUACCU
Molecule: non-coding RNA, 21 nt
Filed under: Mus musculus (house mouse)
Lineage: Eukaryota; Metazoa; Chordata; Mammalia; Rodentia; Muridae
Source: RNAcentral